RNAcentral lists this ribosomal RNA (433 nucleotides) under uncultured bacterium. RNAcentral's name for it is "partial 16S ribosomal RNA". It matches the Rfam family "Bacterial small subunit ribosomal RNA", at positions 29 to 507 of the family's 1533-position model. The record is from RNAcentral.
AGCGAACGCUGGCGGCAGGCCUAACACAUGCAAGUCGAACGAACCUUUCGGGGUUAGUGGCGGACGGGUGAGUAACACGUGGGAACGUGCCUUUAGGUUCGGAAUAACUCAGGGAAACUUGUGCUAAUACCGAAUGUGCCCUUCGGGGGAAAGAUUAAUCGCCUUAGAGCGGCCCGCGUCUGAUUAGCUAGUUGGUUGAGGUAAUGGCUCACCAAGGCGACGAUCAGUAGCUGGUCUGAGAGGAUGAUCAGCCACAGUGGGACUGAGACACGGCCCAAACUCCUACGGGAGGCAGCAGUGGGGAAUCUUGCGCAAUGGGCGAAAGCCUGACGCAGCCAUGCCGCGUGAAUGAUGAAGGUCUUAGGAUUGUAAAAUUCUUUCACCGGGGACGAUAAUGACGGUACCCGGAGAAGAAGCCCCGGCUAACUUCGUG